RNAcentral lists this ribosomal RNA (253 nucleotides) under uncultured bacterium. RNAcentral describes it as "partial 16S ribosomal RNA". It matches the Rfam family "Bacterial small subunit ribosomal RNA", at positions 524 to 776 of the family's 1533-position model. The record is from RNAcentral.
UACAGAGGUCUCAACCGUUGUUCGGAUUCAUUGGGCGUAAAGGGUGCGUAGGCGGCGGGGAAAGUCGGUUGUGAAAUCUCAGGGCUCAACCCUGAAACUGCAUUCGAUACUGCGUGGCUAGAGUGCUGGAGAGGAGACUGGAAUUUACGGUGUAGCAGUGAAAUGCGUAGAUAUCGUAAGGAAGACCAGUGGCGAAGGCGAGUCUCUGGACAGCAACUGACGCUGAGGCACGAAGGCCAGGGGAGCAAACGGG